RNAcentral lists this ribosomal RNA (243 nucleotides) under uncultured bacterium. RNAcentral describes it as "partial 16S ribosomal RNA". It matches the Rfam family "Bacterial small subunit ribosomal RNA", at positions 336 to 596 of the family's 1533-position model. The record is from RNAcentral.
UUCCUACGGGGGGCAGCAGUGGGGAAUAUUGCACAACGGGGGAAACCCUGAUGCAGCAACGCCGCGUGAGUGAAGAAGUCAUUCGUGAUGUAAAGCUCUAUCAGCAGGGAAGAAAAUGACGGUACCUGAGUAAGAAGCCCCGGCUAACUACGUGCCAGCAGCCGCGGUAAUACGUAGGGGGCAAGCGUUAUCCGGAUUUACUGGGUGUAAAGGGAGCGUAGACGGCCAGACAAGUCUGAAGUG